CACUGAUGAAUCUUUUGUAGACGAAACGUGCGUCUGACGCAUUUACAAAAUGUCAAUACUGGCAUCUGUGAAGAGUUUAUUUGAUAUUUACCAGGUCCACUUAAAGCUAUUUUUUUCUCAGCUGCAUCUAAAAUCCAUAGACAUUUAAAAAUUACUAUGUUUGUAACUGUAAAACCUAUUUGUCGUCUCUUCCCUGUCCAGAAAAAAUCUAUACAAUUAUUUAUAUAUACUUUUAUCAUUCUUCUAGUAUCUUUUAGAAUAAUGUAAAUAUGUCCAUUUUAGAAUUGAAUGUUUCUUUUUCUUAUUUAAUUUACUUGGGUUUCAAAAGCUUCGACUGAAACAGCAGCACUUCGUUCAACACAUGUGCACACGAGCAACGCUUUUACUAUCUUAUUAAACAACAAAAAGAAAACCCUUUUCAAUUUUUUAAAAUCACAUAUCAAUUUUACACCAUGAAAUAAAGAGGUGUCUCAAGCUUUUGGUUUGUUUUCCUAUGCGUUGUAGUGUGUCAUGUGAAGCACGUG
RNAcentral lists this long non-coding RNA (524 nucleotides) under Mytilus galloprovincialis (Mediterranean mussel). Lineage: Eukaryota; Metazoa; Mollusca; Bivalvia; Mytilida; Mytilidae. The record is from RNAcentral.